Molecule: ribosomal RNA, 253 nt
Filed under: uncultured bacterium
Lineage: Bacteria
Description: partial 16S ribosomal RNA
Rfam family: Bacterial small subunit ribosomal RNA
Source: RNAcentral
UACGUAGGGCGCAAGCGUUGUCCGGAAUUAUUGGGCGUAAAGGGCUCGUAGGUGGCCAACUAAGUCAGACGUGAAAUCCCUCGGCUUAACCGGGGAACUGCGUCUGAUACUGGAUGGCUUGAGUGUGGGAGAGGGAUGCGGAAUUCCAGGUGUAGCGGUGAAAUGCGUAGAUAUCGUUUGGAACGCCAAUGGUGAAAACAGGUUGCUGGGAGUGUGCUGACGCUGAGACACGAAAGCCAGGGGAGCAAACGGG